AUGGACGGGAAAGGAAGAGAGGAAAGGGAAAGGAGAGGGGUGGAAAAAGACGAUGGGGAAGAAGGGAAGGAGAGGGAGGAGAAAGGCGGGGGGGGAAGGAAGGGGGAGACAUUUUUAUUUGCGGUGCUUUCAGCAGUGCCCUGUACAACGAUGGGGCCGCUCUCUGGAUGUGUUUACAACUCGCCGAGCAGGCUCUGUACCCUGGCGGCACCACACGAACCCCGCAAUGGCGGUGGGCCCCGAGCAGUUCCACUCUGCGGCGACUGGAGCGUGAGGGCGAAGGGCCGGCCCCGGCCCAGCCCCAGCGGGCUCCGUGCGGGAGGAGCCGCGCCCGCGCCCCCGCCCGGCCCCUCACCCGUCCGCCACGCUCUCGGCAGGGUGCUCGGCAUCGCUGGACGUGGCCAGGACGAGAGCGGCCCCCGCCGAGCUCCGGCACCAGUCGGCGGCUUUCAUCGCGCACGGCGGAGCUGCCGCUACCGGGCAACGGCGGCGGCCCCCCCGCACGGCCGCUCCCGGUGCGGGAGGUGCGGGAACCCGGGGCCCUCCCCUGGCUGGGCGGGACCCGCCGCUCCCGCCGUGCCCCGCUCCGCCCCGCCCGCUCCGCCCCGCCCCCCGCGGCCCCGCCCGCCGCCCGCGGGCGCUGCGGGACGGGCGGCGGGAGCGCGGAGCCCCGGCCCGGCUGACGGCGCGGCCCCUCCCGGGGCAGGUAGGUGGGGGCCGGGAGGAUGGGGGAACGAGCGGGGCUCUGGCCUCCCUGCCCGGGCGGGGCGAGGACCCUUCCCCCUGUGCCCCUUCCCCUUAUUCCGCCUCCCCUUGUGCCCCUUCCCCUGGCGCCCCUCGGAGCUGUGCCCGCUCACGGCGCGCUCACCCCCGGGCACAGUCCGAUCCCUUCACGGACCCUUCCCAGCGUGGCCCCCGACCCCGCUCCGGGCUGGACUCGAUCCCUUUGCCCCCGCCUCCCCAUCCCUUCGGUACCCCCGGCCCUCCUCGGGCAGGGCCCGAUCUUCUCCCACCCCUCAGGACCCGGUCCCCAGCCCCGCAGGGCAGGAGCUGAGAGGAUCCCGUCCCUCUGCUGCCCCUCGCCAUCGCAGCUCUGAGCUCUCCUGCCCCCCGCCAGGACCCCGCUCACGAACCAGAGCCCCCCGGGACCGGCUGGGCAGGGGGCACCGGGAGAUGCCCACCCUCCCAGGGAGGGAGGUUCCAGCAGUCUCCAUUGCCCUGCUGCAGUCAGACAUGUGCCCUCUUCCUCCUCCUCCUGCUCGUGCCUGCAGCAGAGCCAGGCCUGGUUGUGGGGACACUUCCCACUCAACCCCAGCUCUUCUCCUGCUUCCCCUGCCUCCAUCCCGGGCGUGGGAUCCAUCCUGGGCCUCUCAGCCAGCCCGGGGUCCAGUUCCCACUCGGAUGGGGUGUGUGGUUUGGUGGCAGGCAGCUCACACCCCUGCUCCACACAGCCUGGCCUCCUUGCACCACAGGGCUACGUGGCCAUGCUCAGGGCUCUAA
RNAcentral lists this long non-coding RNA (1500 nucleotides) under Corvus moneduloides (New Caledonian crow). RNAcentral describes it as "lncRNA (ENSCMUG00000019907.1)". The record is from RNAcentral. Lineage: Eukaryota; Metazoa; Chordata; Aves; Passeriformes; Corvidae.